AUUGAACGCUGGCGGCAUGCCUUACACAUGCAAGUCGAACGGCAGCACGGGGGCAACCCUGGUGGCGAGUGGCGGACGGGUGAGUAAUGCAUCGGAACGUGCCCUGAAGUGGGGGAUAACGCAGCGAAAGCUACGCUAAUACCGCAUAUUCUGUGAGCAGGAAAGCAGGGGAUCGCAAGACCUUGCGCUUUGGGAGCGGCCGAUGUCGGAUUAGCUAGUUGGUGGGUAAAGGCCUACCAAGGCGACGAUCCGUAGCGGGUCUGAGAGGAUGAUCCGCCACACUGGGACUGAGACACGGCCCAGACU
RNAcentral lists this ribosomal RNA (306 nucleotides) under uncultured bacterium. RNAcentral describes it as "bacterial SSU rRNA". It matches the Rfam family "Bacterial small subunit ribosomal RNA", at positions 30 to 337 of the family's 1533-position model. The record is from RNAcentral.